GUCGUUGUAGUAUAGUGGUAAGUAUUCCCGCCUGUCACUCGGGUGACCCGGGUUCUCGAUCCCGGCCAACGGCG
RNAcentral lists this transfer RNA (74 nucleotides) under Leersia perrieri. It matches the Rfam family "tRNA". Rfam says of the family: Transfer RNA (tRNA) molecules are approximately 80 nucleotides in length. Their secondary structure includes four short double-helical elements and three loops (D, anti-codon, and T loops). The record is from Rfam by way of RNAcentral. Lineage: Eukaryota; Viridiplantae; Streptophyta; Magnoliopsida; Poales; Poaceae.